UUUAAAACUUUUACUACUUUUAAAACACAUUAAAAGAUAAUUGGAGUGGGACAUUCAGAGCUGGGAUCUAGAAAGAAGAAAAUCAUCAUUAAAAAGUAUUAAAAUCCUUUUGCUCCCAACUCUUGACAAUUUAAUUGAGACUCCAAAAACCUCAAAUUUCACUGUAAUUUUUGGUUCCAUUUUAAGGAUGUUAUUUAAAAGUUCAAUAAAUGUUGAAAGGGUUAGCCUGCCAUUCAUUAUUUUGGGAACAAAAAAUUUGAUUUAUGUUCUAAGAAUUAGUUCUAGUUUUGAGUGACAGCCAUUUUUCUGUAUUUUGUGUCAUAUAAGCCCAUGCGGGCUGGGCAUAUUAGUGCAUGAGACUUAAAUAAAAUCAAACUCAUAAAAAAAGUUGGAGGAGAAAAUGUUUCUACUUUAUAGUGAUUUCCUUAAGAUUCAUGUUGUUUUUCCCUAUUUUUAGGCUACUUCUUUUCGUCAAAAAAAAGCAUCUCUUUUGUGUCCGCGGUUUUAACAGGCUCCAGUUGUUUCUGCAUGAUCAACAAGCCCGACCACAGAACAAGAAGGUGAUGGCGCGGCCCGUGAGAUCCCGAAGAGGGUCCUCGCUGAACGCUGGUAAGGAGAGGUCGAUUGCAGAACAAAGCUCAGGAGGCUAUGCACCAUGUUGAGUAAAAUGGUAUCUGUCCACCAAGGGAGAAAAAACAGGCCGUUUGCGUUACUGCCCGCCAAAACAAUCAUAGUUAACAAAACGGAGGAUCAGUGAGGAGGACGUUGGGAGGUGCAACAGAAACAGGAAAUAGGAGCCCCUGCAGACUUCUUCCUCAACACCUGCUGACUCCGCCCACCCCCCCUGCAGAGAUGAUUGAGGCUGCCACCCUCCACCAAUCACCUGGCUGGGAGGGAAGCUUAAAAGCUCCCAGGAUCCUCUGCUCCAGUGGCAGCUGAAUUCCUGAGAGGAAUUCACUCUUCAGCCUGCCGCCGCCGCCGCCGCUGCUGUCCGUCCGUCCGUCCGUCCUGUCCGGCCUCAGCCCGUGAAAGCCUCUGGUUUCCCUCUCUUUUCUUUGUUCUGGCUUUGUCCUUUUGUUAAAUUGAACCUCGUGAAUAUUUUUUGCUUACUAUAGAGUUUACGUUAAUUCAUCAUUUCAGUCUUUGGUUGGUUAGUGUCCUUGAUUUUUACGCUGCAACACCUGCCACCUGGCACCCGAAUAAACGUGUGUGGUCAACCUAAGCCCGCCCGGUUAGUUUUUCUUUCUGUUACCUAUUUUCUCCCUCCUCCCUGAAGAGGGACGUAACAGUGUAGGAAUACAGAAGAAAAAGAAGGACAUUUCUAAAGAACGUCUUCUAGAACCUCAUCCAAAACCCACCAUAUAGCAAAGAUGUAUCCUCUGGUAUAAAGGAAGUCAUGUUCCAACACAAAACAUUCAUUUACUGUUGUCCUGGAGCAGAAUCAGAUGGAAAACAGGACAGAAAUUUCAAUCUGCAACCACAUUUUCCACAGUAUUUGGAGGAUGCAACUGUGGAGCAACAUCAACUUUUUUUCCUGCAACUAGCAGCCCUGUAAUGCGUUUGAAAGAACAGAAAUGGGGGACUACGGAAGCCUGGAAGGGAGGAAGAUGAAUGGCAUCCGGAAUGUGUGAACUUGCACCAGCCACUGUAUUCAAACGGAUAAUGGAAAAGAAAACUUUUGUGGCGUCAAAUGUGUUAUGCUCUUAAUCAAGAUUUUAGAAACUUUGAGAUACCCCAACAGGUACCUGCAGUAUGGAAAUAUUACCGAUUUUACCAAAAGAAACGGACGAUUCUUUAUGAAAGUGAUCUAAAAAGAAAAAAAAAAAAAUAACACCAUGGUUCUGUGCAUGGCCGUAUAUAGACAUGGGCAAGAGGAGGGCAAUGUCCCACUUUAAAUAUGAUGACUCGCAAAAAAUCCAACUACAAAAAAUAAAAAUUACAACCAAAAAAAAAACCCUCACAAAGAGCCAAAAGUCAAAUAAAUUGACAAAAACACAACAAAUGUAACGAAUCGAGUAAAAAAAACACACAAGGAUCGACGACAGAUGGAUUAAAAGACAGACCAAAAAAAAAAAAAAAAAA
Non-coding RNA from Oryzias latipes (Japanese medaka), 2082 nucleotides. NCBI's taxonomy places the organism in Eukaryota, Metazoa, Chordata, Actinopteri, Beloniformes, Adrianichthyidae. The record is from RefSeq and is a predicted model, not a curated record.